UACAGAGGGUGCGAGCGUUGUUCGGAAUUACUGGGCGUAAAGCGCGCGCAGGCGGCCUUUUAAGUCUGACGGUGAAAUGCCGGGGCUCAACCCCGUGCCCGCCGCGGAUACUGGGAGGCUGGAGACAUGUAGAGGCAAGCGGAAUUCCGGGUGUAGCGGUGGAAUGCGUGGAGAUCCGGAAGAACACCGGAGGCGAAGGCGGCUUGCUGGGCAUUGUCUGACGCUGAGGCGCGAAAGCGUGGGGAGCGAACAGG
Molecule: ribosomal RNA, 254 nt
Filed under: uncultured bacterium
Lineage: Bacteria
Description: partial 16S ribosomal RNA
Rfam family: Bacterial small subunit ribosomal RNA
Source: RNAcentral